Molecule: ribosomal RNA, 1472 nt
Filed under: uncultured prokaryote
Description: partial 16S ribosomal RNA
Rfam family: Bacterial small subunit ribosomal RNA
Source: RNAcentral
CGGCGUGGAUUAGGCAUGCAAGUCGAACGAGAAAGUGCCUUCGGGCAUAAGUAAAGUGGCGAACUGGUGAGUAAUAGGUGGGUAAUGUGCCUCGUAGCGGGGGAUAACAGUUGGAAACAGCUGCUAAUACCGCAUACGACGCGAGAAACGAUGGUUUUUCGCGUCAAAGACUGGCGCGUGCCGCCGAAAGAGCAGCCCGCUCCCGAUUAGCUAGUUGGUAAGGUAAUGGCUUACCAAGGCGACGAUCGGUAGGUGGCCUGAGAGGGUGGUCACCCACACUGGGACUGAGAUACGGCCCAGACUCCUACGGGGGGCAGCAGUCUAGAAGCUUCCACAAUGGACGAAAGUCUGAUGGAGCGACGCCGCGUGCGGGAUUGAAGGUCGUGAGAUCGUAAACCGCUGUCAGCAGGGAAGAAUGCCCGAAUGGUGAAUUUGGGAGAGACGGUACCUGCAGAGGAAGCCCCGGCUAACUCCGUGCCAGCAGCCGCGGUAAUACGGAGGGGGCAAACGUUGUUCGGAAUUACUGGGCGUAAAGAGUACGUAGGCGGUUCGAUCAGUCUGGUGUGAAAGCCCCAUGCUUAACAUGGGAUCCGCAUUGGAUACUGUCGAGCUCGAGAGCGGAAGAGGCAGGUGGAAUUCCUGGUGUAGCGGUGGAAUGCGUAGAUAUCAGGAAGAACACUCGUGGCGAAGGCGGCCUGCUGGUCCGUUUCUGACGCUGAGGUACGAAAGCUAGGGGAGCGAACGGGAUUAGAUACCCCGGUAGUCCUAGCCGUAAACGGUGAACACUGGGUGUCGGGGGUAUCGACCCCCUCGGUGCCGAAGCUAACGCAUUAAGUGUUCCGCCUGGGGAGUACGGUCGCAAGUCUGAAACUCAAAGGAAUUGACGGGGGCCCGCACAAGCGGUGGAGGAUGUGGUUUAAUUCGACGCAACGCGCAGAACCUUACCUGGGCUUAAACCGCAGGAUAAACCAUUCGAAAGGAUGGCUGCUUCGGCAAUCCUGUAGAGGUGCUGCAUGGCUGUCGUCAGCUCGUGUCGUGAGAUGUUGGGUUAAGUCCCGCAACGAGCGCAACCCUUGUCGUUAGUUACCAGCACGUAAUGGUGGGGACUUUAACGAGACUGCCGUCGUCAGGUGGAGGAAGGUGGGGACCACCUCAAGUCAUCAUGGCCCUUAUGUCCAGGGCUACACACGUCCUACAAUGGCGAGUACAACGGGCAGCUAAGCCGCGAGGCCACGCUAAUCCCUUAAAGCUCGUCCCAGUUCGGAUAGCAGUCUGCAACUCGACUGCUUGAAGGCGGAAUCGCUAGUAAUCGCGGAACAGCAUGCCGCGGUGAAUACGUUCCCGGGCCUUGUACACACCGCCCGUCACAUCACGAAAGUCAGUUGUACCAGAAGUCGCUAAGCUAACCGCAAGGAGGCAGGCGCCUAAGGUAUGGCCGGUAAUUGGGGUUAAGUCGUAACAAGGUAACCGUA